AGAGUUUGAUCCUGGCUCAGGAUGAACGCUGGCGGCGUGCCUAACACAUGCAAGUCGAGCGAUUCUCUUCGGAGAAGAGCGGCGGACGGGUGAGUAACGCGUGGGUAACCUGCCUCAUACACAUGGAUAACAUACCGAAAGGUAUGCUAAUACAAGAUAACAUAAGAAAUUCGCGUGGGUUUCUUAUCAAAGCUCCGGCGGUAUGAGAUGGACCCGCGUCUGAUUAGCUAGUUGGUAAGGUAACGGCUUACCAAGGCGACGAUCAGUAGCCGACCUGAGAGGGUGAUCGGCCACAUUGGAACUGAGACACGGUCCAAACUCCUACGGGAGGCAGCAGUGGGCAAUAUUGCACAAUGGGCGAAAGCCUGAUGCAGCAACGCCGCGUGAGUGAUGAAGGCCUUCGGGUCGUAAAACUCUGUCCUCAAGGAAGAUAAUGACGGUACUUGAGGAGGAAGCCCCGGCUAACUACGUGCCAGCAGCCGCGGUAAGAGCCGAAUU
This 498-nucleotide ribosomal RNA is filed under the name uncultured bacterium. RNAcentral's name for it is "bacterial SSU rRNA". It matches the Rfam family "Bacterial small subunit ribosomal RNA", at positions 8 to 531 of the family's 1533-position model. The record is from RNAcentral.